RNAcentral lists this ribosomal RNA (319 nucleotides) under uncultured eukaryote. RNAcentral's name for it is "partial 18S ribosomal RNA". It matches the Rfam family "Eukaryotic small subunit ribosomal RNA", at positions 1470 to 1796 of the family's 1831-position model. The record is from RNAcentral.
CCCUUAGAUGUUCUGGGCUGCACGCGCGCGACAAUGACGUUUGCAACGAGAUUGCGAGGCCGUCAGGUCGAGCUGAUCUUGCAAGCUGCGUCGUGAUAGGGACAGUCGAUUGCAAUUAUUCGACUCGAACGAGGAAUUCCUUGUAAUCGCGAUUCAUCAUAUCGCGCUGAAUACGUCCCUGCCCUUUGUACACACCGCCCGUCGCUCCUACCGAUUGAGCGAUCCGGUGAAUGUUUUGGACUGGCGUCAGAAGCGGUUCGCUCCUGACACUACGAAAUUUUGUAAACCUUAUCGCUUAGAGGAAGGAAAAGUCGUAACA